This 236-nucleotide ribosomal RNA is filed under the name uncultured Staphylococcus sp. Its description in RNAcentral is "partial 16S ribosomal RNA". It matches the Rfam family "Bacterial small subunit ribosomal RNA", at positions 104 to 334 of the family's 1533-position model. Lineage: Bacteria; Bacillati; Bacillota; Bacilli; Caryophanales; Staphylococcaceae. The record is from RNAcentral.
GGGUGAGUAACACGUGUAUAACCUACCUAUAAGACUGGGAUAACUUCGGGAAACCGGAGCUAAUACCGGAUAAUAUUUUGAACCGCAUGGUUCAAAAGUGAAAGACGGUCUUGCUGUCACUUAUAGAUGGAUCCGCGCUGCAUUAGCUAGUUGGUAAGGUAACGGCUUACCAAGGCAACGAUGCAUAGCCGACCUGAGAGGGUGAUCGGCCACACUGGAACUGAGACACGGUCCAG